RNAcentral lists this ribosomal RNA (726 nucleotides) under uncultured bacterium. RNAcentral describes it as "bacterial SSU rRNA". It matches the Rfam family "Bacterial small subunit ribosomal RNA", at positions 123 to 870 of the family's 1533-position model. The record is from RNAcentral.
AACGUGUCCUGUAGUGGGGGAUAGCCCGGCAAGCCGGAUUAAUACCGCAUACGCUCUACGGAGGAAAGGGGGGGAUCUUAGGACCUCUCUACAGGGGCGGCCGAUGGCAGAUUAGCUAGUUGGUGGGGUAAAGGCCUACCAAGGCGGAUCUGUAGCUGGUCUGAGAGGACGACCAGCCACACUGGGACUGAGACACGGCCCAGACCUACGGGAGGCAGCAGUGGGGAAUUUUGGACAAUGGGCGCAAGCCUGAUCCAGCAAUCGCGUGUGUGAAGAAGGCCUUCGGGUUGUAAAGCACUUUUGUCCGGAAAGAAAACCUCGGUUAAUACCCCGGGGGGAUGACGGUACCGGAAGAAUAAGCACCGGCUAACUACGUGCGCAGCCGCGGUAAUACGUAGGGUGCAAGCGUUAAUCGGAAUUACUGGGCGUAAAGCGUGCAGGCGGUCUGCUAAGACAGAUGUGAAAUCCCCGGGCUUAACCUGGGAACUGCAUUUGACUGGCAGGCUAGAGUAUGGCAGAGGGGGGUAGAAUUCCACGUGUAGCAGUGAAAUGUAGAGAUGUGGAGGAAUACCGAUGGCGAAGGCAGCCCCCUGGGCCAAUACUGACGCUCGCACGAAAGCGUGGGGAGCAAACAGGAUUAGAUACCCUGGUAGUCCACGCCCUAAACGGUCAACUAGUUGUCGGGUCUUCAUUGACUUGGUAACGUAGCUAACGCGUGAAGUGACC